CGGGGGCGUGGGUAACGCUGCCCUCGAAACCCCCCUCGGCCCAAUCCAAUCGCCCGCAUGCCGGAACCCUUCCUCCCUCCUUGAUCUCUCUCCCUCAGCCGCCACGAACACUAGCCCCUUUUCCUACGAUCCCGCGGUCGCUGCCCUUGCUCCAUCCGACCUCCCUCGUCAGCCGCCGCCGCAAUGGCUCCUUCGUCCUCCGACUCUGUCUCCCCAAUUCAUCCUCCAUCCCUUUCUGCUUGAGGUGCUCAUCGGCCCAGGUCGUGAGGAAGCCGCGUGAGGAGGAGCCCAGGUCGCGAAGCCGCGUGAGGAGGAGAUACCUCGCCCGAGAAGCUGUGGGAGGAGGGCCUCAACCAGAGAGGAGCGGCUGCCAGCCAUGUAGUUGGCUCAGGUCGACGCCGUCCUUGGCGUCCGGGCCGCGGCAGACCCUAGCGCCAUCCUUCAGGAGUCUUCACGACCUCCAGGUGCGCAUCUUUCAGGAUUUAAUAAUGAGUUAUCUUGGGCUUCAUUGGACAAAUGAUCUACCUGGAGCAUUGAUACAGCAUACAAUGCGCCAGGUUCUACUGCAACAGCACGACAUACAAAGUCAUGGAGGAGAGGUGUUCAGAGAAAGAGUUAUACAUGUGCCAGGUUCUGAAGUAUGAGGAUCCGGUGCGACAGGAAGCAACUCUGAAUAUGGUUCCUGUAGAUGAACUUAAGGAGAAGGCGCUUAUUUCACUGGCCAAGGUGUGGAGAGUCGACCACGGCGAGCUUGGCUAAUGUCAACACGUGAAGCUGGGUCAAGUACAGAAGACGAAACACAAGAUUCAAGAUCACUCUCCUGUAUGUGAUUAUUUACUCAUUUCGAGCCAUUUUGCAACCCAACUUGACUUCUUUUAUUUUGUGAUCUGAGCUAUACACACCAAAAUUAGCCCACAAAGUUUGAACCAUAUCUGAACAUGUUAGAUCACUCUCAUGUAUGUGAUGAUUUACUCUAUGGAGCCAUGUUAUGACCUAGCUUGAGUUCUUUUAAUCGCGAUCUGAGCUGCAAAAUAAAAAUAAAAAUAAAAAUAGUCCACGUAAUUUGAACCAUAUCUGAACAUUUUAGUAUCUGAAUACUGAAGUUACCAAACAUGAUCUUCACUUCGCCAUGUGUGACACCACUGAGUACUUUAACUAAGCUAACUGUAGUAAUAUUACGUUUUACAUGGCUAUGCAAGUUAAAGGUUCUAAUAUAGUGUACGUUUAUCGAUAUUUUGUGUUAUACUGAUUAAUAUACUUCACAUAUAAGUUUUAAGCUAAGAGCUCCUAAUAAUUGUUUCUCCUCUUUGCAGUUGCCAUUUUAGUCAUAUUUUUUCUGAGAUAAAGAAUAAUAUUGAGAUGAAUUUCCUUUCCGAUGAUGAGAUUGGGUAUGCCUAUGUUUUGUAUUUUUUUCAGUAUUAUUUUAUUUCAGGCUUCAGUAAGCUGAGAGAGCUAACAAAUAAUAUGGUAAACAAUUUCUAUCAAGUGGGUGAGCUCCAUUUUUCAAGGUAAGUCAGGUGACAGCCAAAAAAACAAGGAGAUGAGUCUCUUAUCAGUUGAUUUGAUCUUAUCCAGGUUCUAUUUUCUUUCAGGCCAUGAGUUACGAUGUCUUGGUUAGAGCUACUACAUUCAAAGAGUAAAUCUGUUUCGUUGUACUGAAUUUAUGUACAUUGUAUGAAAAAGGUGCAUGUGUUAUGCCAUGUAGAAUUUUCAGCUGAGCAAUUGUGUAGACUUACAAAGCUAUCAUGACAGAUGUUAGUGAUUUCUGUAUUGGGGCCAUGUUACAUCUCUAGGGUUGAAUUAAUGGCUAGAAAUUCAGACUUACAUAGCUGAAAACAGGGUUGCUCGAAGCAAACAAGCUGCCUAUUCAGUAUUUUUAACACUCAUGGAAAAGGUAUAUGCUCUUCCUAAAUUCCAAAUUAUUAUUAUAUCACAUAACUGAAAGUGCAUUAGACCAAUGGUGUUAUCAGAAAUAAAUUUCUGCCCCAUAGCUGAACCGUGUCUUUUCUCAGUGUGUAUAUAUGUUAGAGAUGUGUAUGAUUCAGAUAAUUUUCUUCAUUUGUUAACUUUACCAAUGUAUGGCUGACAUGCUUCAUUAUGUUAUAUCACAUCUGAAAGUGCAGUACGCCGGUGGUUUAUUAGAAUGGAUAAUUUCAGUCAAAUAAUAGAGUUCUUUUCUUCGGUGUAUAUACAAGUUACAGAUGUGCAUGAUUAUGUUUAUUCUCUACAUUUGGUAAAUUCACCUAUGUAUGGCUGACAUACUUCUUCAGGUUAUGUUUCUAAAGCUCCAUGCUUAAUCAUCCAGAAUGUUUCCAAGUGACUGCUUUACACAUGGGAGACUAGAUGCAUGGAGGAGUUCAGAGAAGCUGGUGUUAUGUUACAUAUGGUCUUCAAGCUGAUGUUAUGUUUCUUCCAUGGUUUGUAUAUUUGUUGCAAAAACAUAGUACAAGAAAAAGAUCUAUGCUCAUGAAGAUGGCAGAAGGGAACUACAUGUGGAACAAGAACCACCAGAACUGACCAGUUGGGCGUCUGGAUAGUGGUAGUGCACAAAAAUUGCUUGCUGUAUAGAGUCAAUGUUAUCCACUACUAGCCCACUCGCUGAUUUUUAUGUUAUGAAAUUAUAGUUCAACCAUAGUAUGUAUUUACACUCCCGCUGUGAGAUUGUACUAUAUAAAUCAUGGGAGGACAAAGUAGGCCUUUAUAUGCAAAUAACUCCUUGUUGAAAUGAGUAACUUGAGCCAUUUGGCACAACAGGUCUA
Long non-coding RNA from Triticum dicoccoides, 2759 nucleotides. RefSeq lists it as uncharacterized. NCBI's taxonomy places the organism in Eukaryota, Viridiplantae, Streptophyta, Magnoliopsida, Poales, Poaceae. The record is from RefSeq and is a predicted model, not a curated record. The transcript has 6 exons.